GACGAACGCUGGCGGCGUGCUUAACACAUGCAAGUCGAACGCUGAAGCUCAGCUUGCUGGGUGGAUGAGUGGCGAACGGGUGAGUAACACGUGAGUAACCUGCCCUCUUCUUUGGGAUAACGCCCGGAAACGGGUGCUAAUACUGGAUAUUCACUGAUUCUCGCAUGGGGGUUGGUGGAAAGGUUUUUUCUGGUGGGGGAUGGGCUCGCGGCCUAUCAGCUUGUUGGUGGGGUGAUGGCCUACCAAGGCUUUGACGGGUAGCCGGCCUGGGAGGGUGACCGGUCACAUUGGGACUGAGAUACGGCCCAGACUCCUCCGGGAGGCAGCAGUGGGGAAUAUUGCACAAUGGGCGAAAGCCUGAUGCAGCGACGCCGCGUGAGGGAUGGAGGCCUUCGGGUUGUAAACCUCUUUCGCUCAUGGUCAAGCCGCAGCUUUGGGUUGUGGUGAGGGUAGUGGGUAAAGAAGCGCCGGCUAACUACGUG
This 482-nucleotide ribosomal RNA is filed under the name uncultured bacterium. RNAcentral's name for it is "partial 16S ribosomal RNA". It matches the Rfam family "Bacterial small subunit ribosomal RNA", at positions 28 to 507 of the family's 1533-position model. The record is from RNAcentral.